Molecule: non-coding RNA, 708 nt
Organism: Phascolarctos cinereus (koala)
Lineage: Eukaryota; Metazoa; Chordata; Mammalia; Diprotodontia; Phascolarctidae
Source: RefSeq, a predicted model, not a curated record
UGAUAUAGCGGAUAGAAUAUGGCAUUUGAAUCCUGCCUCAGACACGUGGUUGUUUGGUUGUCGUAUCUCACUCUUGAAGAGGACCAAAAUGAUGUCACCAUGUUGGACUCAAGGUAGAGUGUGUCUAACUGUGGCCGAUCAGACCAAUACUCAGCUCAGAAGGCUCUACUACAGAGAAUGGGCUAAAAGCUUUCCAAGGUUUAAAGAAUGAACUAUCCUGCUAAUCUGGACCAAAUAAGGCUGACCUUUGAGACAAGUGACCUUCACCAAGCCAGCAACUACUUCCUCCUAUCCUGGAAAAGAGCAGAGCUUGCCAAGGGUAGAGGAACCUUAAAUUAGAAAUGAGGCCUUCAUAGAGAUCAGGAGGAACAAAAAGGCUUUGGACUGAAGAGAGAAGAGGGUGAGUGUUCAACAUCAGUCUUCUCAAUGGUUCAGCGUGGUUCCUUUAUUCUUGGCUCUGUCCCAUUUUUCAAAAUAUAACUUUGCCAAGUCAUUAUCAAUUAUUUCUCCACUCAAAUCCAGCCCCAAGUCAUGUCAAACCCAGCAACAGAGACAAGAGCCUCAUGUCACCUGAAAUGGAUCUUUUCAAGUUUUCUUUGCAAGUAAUAGAAAUCUAGUGGAUUAGUCCCCAGCAAGAUUCUGGAAUGGCUUAUUAAACACUAAUCAAAACAGCUUGCUAUCAUGGUUUUGUUGUUCAAUCUUGUCUAA